ACACACACACUCACGAC
This 17-nucleotide ribosomal RNA is filed under the name Mammomonogamus auris. RNAcentral describes it as "partial 5.8S ribosomal RNA". Lineage: Eukaryota; Metazoa; Nematoda; Chromadorea; Rhabditida; Syngamidae. The record is from RNAcentral.